Molecule: ribosomal RNA, 465 nt
Filed under: Vreelandella stevensii
Lineage: Bacteria; Pseudomonadati; Pseudomonadota; Gammaproteobacteria; Oceanospirillales; Halomonadaceae
Description: partial 16S ribosomal RNA
Rfam family: Bacterial small subunit ribosomal RNA
Source: RNAcentral
CCUACGGGAGGCAGCAGUGGGGAAUAUUGGACAAUGGGGGCAACCCUGAUCCAGCCAUGCCGCGUGUGUGAAGAAGGCCCUCGGGUUGUAAAGCACUUUCAGUGAGGAAGAACGCCUGGUGGUUAAUACCCAUCAGGAAAGACAUCACUCACAGAAGAAGCACCGGCUAACUCCGUGCCAGCAGCCGCGGUAAUACGGAGGGUGCGAGCGUUAAUCGGAAUUACUGGGCGUAAAGCGCGCGUAGGUGGCUUGAUAAGCCGGUUGUGAAAGCCCCGGGCUCAACCUGGGAACGGCAUCCGGAACUGUCAAGCUAGAGUGCAGGAGAGGAAGGUAGAAUUCCCGGUGUAGCGGUGAAAUGCGUAGAGAUCGGGGGGAAUACCAGUGGCGAAGGCGGCCUUCUGGACUGACACUGACACUGAGGUGCGAAAGCGUGGGUAGCAAACAGGAUUAGAUACCCUAGUAGUC